UACGUAGGUGGCAAGCGUUGUCCGGAAUUACUGGGUGUAAAGGGCGUGUAGGCGGGUCUGCAAGUCAGGUGUGAAAUUCAAGGGCUUAACCCUUGACCUGCAUUUGAGACUGCGGAUCUUGAGUGAUGGAGAGGUAAGUGGAAUUCCUAGUGUAGCGGUGAAAUGCGUAGAUAUUAGGAGGAACACCAGUGGCGAAGGCGACUUACUGGACAUUAACUGACGCUGAGGCGCGAAAGCGUGGGGAGCAAACAGGAUUAGAUACCCUGGUAGUCCACGCCGUAAACGAUGGAUACUAGGUGUGGGGGGACUGACCCCUUCCGUGCCGGAGUUAACACAAUAAGUAUCCCACCUGGGGAGUACGGUCGCAAGAUUAAA
Molecule: ribosomal RNA, 375 nt
Filed under: uncultured bacterium
Lineage: Bacteria
Description: bacterial SSU rRNA
Rfam family: Bacterial small subunit ribosomal RNA
Source: RNAcentral